Danio rerio (zebrafish) is the source of this 847-nucleotide non-coding RNA. Lineage: Eukaryota; Metazoa; Chordata; Actinopteri; Cypriniformes; Danionidae. The record is from RefSeq and is a predicted model, not a curated record.
UCGGUUCAGACUGUGCUUUGGUUAAGCUUAUAUGGGUCUGUCUGUGUGACGUAGACGAACCCCCCAAAUUUGAAGACCUGUCAGAAGAGCUGAGCUCAUCAUAGACAAAAGACUAGGAUGAUCUCCUCAAGACUUCAUGCAUGUAAAAACUGCAAAUUCAGCACUUCAAGUGAAGAUGUCCUUCUGAAGCACUAUCAGCUACAUCAUCAUAGAAUUUCCAACUGGCCCUGUCUUUACACGGAGUGUGUUUGUGCUUUUAAAACUGCAGGUACUUUACGAUCCCACUUAUCUAAAUCACACCACAACACUGAUAGAGUCAGUCGAGAUUUUUCAACUUUCAACUUUUAAUUGUGGACUAUGUGAAUUUCAUGAGAUUUGUUGUGAAAAAAGAUUUUUUCUUCACCUACAAAAUCAUCUGAAACGUAAAGAAGUUAAUGCAGAAGAGACAUGGCAGCCAUAAGUGAAAACAUGGAACUAACAUUUUCCCUUAGAAGAAAAGAAAUGGUCCAAGAGCAGCCAAUGAUUGUAGAGGUUCAGGAGAGGUGGCCUGCACUCUUUUUUUCAAGAACAGAUCUGUGAGGAAUUUUUCCGCAUCACCAACAAAGACCUUCUAGAAGUCUUCAUGGCAGCCACUGACAAGUAAACACCAAAGCUUCUGAAAUUAUACAGAGCCAGAAAAGGAGCGUUUGGACAUGAAAUGGAAGAGCUCCUGGAAAGACUUGAUGAAAGGACAACAGAAAUUGUUAAUCACAGAAGGACUGCUGCUUUGGAGGGCCUGCCUUUGUUUCUUCGAGAGAAACAAACUAACCUUUUCAAGAAAUGUAAAGUAGGUAUCAAACAAUUUAAA